RNAcentral lists this ribosomal RNA (484 nucleotides) under uncultured bacterium. RNAcentral's name for it is "partial 16S ribosomal RNA". It matches the Rfam family "Bacterial small subunit ribosomal RNA", at positions 30 to 507 of the family's 1533-position model. The record is from RNAcentral.
AUUGAACGCUGGCGGCAUGCCUAACACAUGCAAGUCGAGCGGAUGAAGGGAGCUUGCUCCUGGAUUCAGCGUCGGACGGGUGAGUAAUGCCUAGGAAUCUGCCUCGUAGUGGUGGAUAACGCCCGCAGACGGGCGCUAAUACCGCAUACGUCCUGAGGGAGCAAGUGGGGGGUCUUCGGACCUCACGCCCUCAUGUGAGCCUAGGUCGGAUUAGCUAGUUGGUGGGGUAAAGGCCUACUAAGGCGACGAUCCGUAACUGGUCUGAGAGGAUGAUCAGUCACACUGGAACUGAGACACGGUCCAGACGACUACGGGAGGCAGCAGUGGGGAAUAUUGGACAAUGGGCGAAAGCAUGAUCCAGCCAUGCCGCGUGUGUGAAGAAGGUCUUCGGAUUGUAAAGAAGUUUAAGUUGGGAGGAAGGGCAGUAAGUUAAUACCUUGCUGUUUUGACGUUAACAACAGAAUAAGCACCGGCUAACUUCGUG